RNAcentral lists this ribosomal RNA (472 nucleotides) under uncultured bacterium. RNAcentral describes it as "bacterial SSU rRNA". It matches the Rfam family "Bacterial small subunit ribosomal RNA", at positions 355 to 825 of the family's 1533-position model. The record is from RNAcentral.
UGGGGAAUAUUGGACAAUGGGCGAAAGCCUGAUCCAGCCAUGCCGCGUGUGUGAAGAAGGUCUUCGGAUUGUAAAGCACUUUAAGUUGGGAGGAAGGGUUGUAGAUUAAUACUCUGCAAUUUUGACGUUACCGACAGAAUAAGCACCGGCUAACUCUGUGCCAGCAGCCGCGGUAAUACAGAGGGUGCAAGCGUUAAUCGGAAUUACUGGGCGUAAAGCGCGCGUAGGUGGUUAGUUAAGUUGGAUGUGAAAUCCCCGGGCUCAACCUGGGAACUGCAUUCAAAACUGACUGACUAGAGUAUGGUAGAGGGUGGUGGAAUUUCCUGUGUAGCGGUGAAAUGCGUAGAUAUAGGAAGGAACACCAGUGGCGAAGGCGACCACCUGGACUGGUACUGACACUGAGGUGCGAAAGCGUGGGGAGCAAACAGGAUUAGAUACCCUGGUAGUCCCUGAGCGGGCUGGCAAGGCGCAU